This 508-nucleotide small RNA is filed under the name Pan troglodytes (chimpanzee). RNAcentral's name for it is "processed transcript". Lineage: Eukaryota; Metazoa; Chordata; Mammalia; Primates; Hominidae. The record is from RNAcentral.
ACCGGCUAAAAUGGCGUCUACGCAAUUACGUCAGGCGUCAGAUCCGCGCACGACUAGAGGGCGGGAAAGAUUUGAGCUACGCCUGCGCAGAGCUGAGAAGCUGAUGUUUCCUCGACUUCCAACUGGAACCUUGAACCCCCACAUUUCUGGACCUUGAGCAUUCCUCAAGUAGGAAGAUGUAAUGCACCUUGACCUCUUUCUAAAUAAGACACUUCCCCAAAUAAGGGGAGUUGAGAGUGAACAGUCUUCACGUCUCCACCCACUUCCAGAUCCCAGAGGAGACAGACAUCGGAUGGCUGUUACCUCCUCCUAAAAUGUCUGCAUUUACCCAGAUAAUCUUCCAAUGGAAAUCCAUGGUUCAAGUGCCACCUCUUCAGGAAAGCCAUCUGACUUCAAUCAGAAUCGACCACGGAAAUUUGACACCUCCGGGCUUGGAAGCAGCUCUCUCCUCCUUCCCCCCUGCUUAUAAACCUCAGCCCUGAGGCUCCAGCUCACUCUACCCCAUCUC